Apis florea (little honeybee) is the source of this 1196-nucleotide unclassified non-coding RNA. NCBI's taxonomy places the organism in Eukaryota, Metazoa, Arthropoda, Insecta, Hymenoptera, Apidae. The record is from RefSeq and is a predicted model, not a curated record.
UUACAAUAUAGAUUAUAAAUCCUUAUUUUACAUUAUAAUUUCUUAAAGUGACUUUAAAAUAAAAUAAUUUAUUAUAUAAAUAUGUCAAAAUUUUAUAAAUUUUUUAAGAAAGGAAAAUGCUCUGUGAUUGGAAUGGUACACGUUGGUGCUUUGCCUGGCACUCCUGCAUAUAAUGGUAAUAUUAAUCAAAUUAUAAGUAAUGCAAUAAAGGAAACAAUAAUCUAUAGAGAUUGUAAUAUUGAUGGUAUUUUAGUGGAAAAUAUGCAUGAUAAUCCAUAUGUGAGAUCUGAACAUUUAACACCUGAAACGACAGCAAUGAUGACUAGAAUCUGCACAGAAAUUAAGCAAAUAUUACCUGAAAAUAUACCUUGUGGUAUACAGAUUUUAGCAGGAUGUAAUAAAGAAGCAAUAGCUGUAGCAAAAGCAACUAAUUUUCAAUUUAUCAGAGCGGAAGGAUUUGUCUUUUCUCAUAUUGCAGAUGAGGGAUUUACAGAUGCAUGUGCUGGUUCUUUAUUGAGAUAUAGAAAACAAAUUGAUGCUGAUGAUAUUCUUAUUUUUGCUGAUAUUAAAAAAAAACAUAGUUCACAUACAAUCACUUCUGAUGUAAGUUUAUUAGAAACAGCAAAAGCAGCAAAAUUUUUCUUGGCUGAUGGUAUAAUCUUGACAGGAAAUGCUACAGGUUAUCCAGCAAAUGUAACAGAACUUACAGGUUGGUUAACCUCACUUCAUUUUGAGAAACACUGCUACAUAUGAUGCCAUCUUGCCACUAUAGGCAGUGCGAUGUCGCUACGGGCUAAGCGAAACUACUUUGUUCCGGUGGAACAUAAUGACGAGGGAUGGAAAACGGAUAGAUUUUCAGAAAUGGAAAUUUUGUAGGCAGUGGGUAAAAAGGAAGUUUUCCAAGCAUCCCAACGUUUACAACGACCAGCAGCUGUUCGCCCAGCUGAGCGUUCCCCCACCGAUGAUUUCUCCUCACCGCCGAAUCAAUGAGUUAUAAGGCCCCUCGUCAAAUUUUCAAUCUCAACGAAGAGAACUCUUCUUAUAAACGCGUUUAUAAAAAUACGUGCUACAUAUUAAAUUACGAAACAUAGUUGUUACGUCAAUUGACGUUGCAAAAGCUAUUCGCACGCGUCCGGGUGUGAAUUCUGAAGUGACCAAAAUGAAGGUCAGCGUAAAAAUAAAAAUUACUUAAAAUA